AUUGAACGCUGGCGGCAUGCUUUACACAUGCAAGUCGAACGGCAGCGCGGGCUUUGGCCUGGCUGCGAGUGGCGAACGGGUGAGUAAUACAUCGGAACGUGCCCAGUAUUGGUGGAUAGCUCGGCGAAAGCCGGAUUAAUACCGCCUACGACCUGAUGGUGAAAGCUGGGGAUCUUCGGACCGCGCGCUAUUUUAGCGGCCGAUGGCAGAUUAGCUAGUUGGUGGGGUAAAGGCCUACCAAGGCGACGAUCUGUAGCUGGUCUGAGAGGACGACCAGCCACACUGGGACUGAGCCACGGACCAGACUCCUACGGGAGGCAGCAGUGGGGAAUUUUGGACAAUGGGCGAAAGCCUGAUACAGCAAUGCCGCGUGUGUGAUGAAGGCCUUCGGGUUGUAAAGCACUUUUGGCGGGAACGAAAAGGACUGUGCCAAUACCACGGUUCGAUGACGGUACCCGCAGAAUAAGCACCGGCUAACUACGUG
RNAcentral lists this ribosomal RNA (484 nucleotides) under uncultured bacterium. RNAcentral's name for it is "partial 16S ribosomal RNA". It matches the Rfam family "Bacterial small subunit ribosomal RNA", at positions 30 to 507 of the family's 1533-position model. The record is from RNAcentral.